This is a long non-coding RNA of Oncorhynchus tshawytscha (Chinook salmon), 614 nucleotides long. The record is from Ensembl. Lineage: Eukaryota; Metazoa; Chordata; Actinopteri; Salmoniformes; Salmonidae.
CUCGCUUAAGAUUGAUGUAAUAAUAAUAAUCAUCAUCUACUGGAGCUGAUAUGCUUAAUCCAUUUCUGCUGCAGCUCUCUGCCCCCCUAACGAUUAUAUCUAGUACUAUCCCCAAGGUUUGGAAGGAGGCCCAGGUACUCCCCCUAACUACGAUGAUAUCUAGUACUAUCCCCAAGGUUUGGAAGGAGGCCCAGGUACUCCCCCUAACUACGAUUAUAUCUAGUACUAUCCCCAAGGUUUGGAAGGAGGCCCAGGUACUCCCCCUAACUACGAUUAUAUCUAGUACUAUCCCCAAGGUUUGGAAGGAGGCCCAGGUACUCCCCCUAACUACGAUUAUAUCUAGUACUAUCCCCAAGGUUUGGAAGGAGGCCCAGGUACUCCCCCUAACGAUUAUAUCUAGUACUAUCCCCAAGGUUUGGAAGGAGGCCCAGGUACUCCCCCUAAUGAUUAUAUCUAGUCCUAUCCCCAAGGUUUGGAAGGAGGCCCAGGUACUCCCCUAAUGAUUAUAUCUAGUACUAUCCCCAAGGUUUGGAAGGAGGCCCAGGUACUCCCCUAACCUGACGAUUAUAUCUAGUACUAUCCCCAAGGUUUGGAAGGAGGCCCAGGUACUCCCC